RNA transcript from Acinonyx jubatus (cheetah), 2609 nucleotides. RefSeq lists it as uncharacterized. NCBI's taxonomy places the organism in Eukaryota, Metazoa, Chordata, Mammalia, Carnivora, Felidae. The transcript is spliced from 2 exons. The record is from RefSeq and is a predicted model, not a curated record.
GGGGAGUCGAGAGAGAGUGUGUGUGUAUGUGGCCUGUCUGAGCAACCAAGGUCACAGUGGACCCGCCAGACAGCGCUGUCCAGGGGAUAGCAUGCAUCAGCGCGUGCCAAGUGAGUGCUUUCGCCGGCACACGCGAGUUCUCAGGCCCGUGGCGUUGGGUGGAGGCGGACGGUAGGCUCGUGCCUACUUUGGGGGGUGGCUGUGAGGCUCACAGAGGUGGUUUCGUUUUCCCAGGACCACCCAGGAGUCUCUGAGCUGCAGGUGGAGCCCAGAUCUUUUCCCCUGCGUCUUUUUUGGAACCUACUACCCCCGGGAAGGAGAGAGCCCAGCGGGAGCUCCCGCCCAGGAACGACUUAGGAAGAAGGCAGCCUCGAUUUACCCGGGUGUGCUGGGGUUUGCCGUCCACUGCCCCCCAGGCCCCGAGGCAUGGCGGCAGCAUCCCUGGGCUGACCCGCUGACACUGUGAGUGCCUGAGGGACCCGUCACCAGGCACAGAAGAAGCGCACAAACCGCACCCCCCCCUCCUUUCCCAGGAUGCUCUGCAAUGCGUGGGCUCAGAGUAGCCACCUCGACCGCUCCGAGGGAAAGAGGACCCCAGAGGGCAGGGCUCAGGGAGCCACACGGACAGGCUCAGGCUCUUCCCCAAGAGCAUAGGCUGACUGCUGGAUUUCAAGACAGGAGCGCCCAGGGCGGUUCGGUCAGAGCCACAGCCUAGACCAGGAGCUGCCUAGAGGUGGGAGGAUAUCUGGACGUAAGCAGAAUAAAUGACCCGGGUCCCCGAAGUUCUGGGUUUAAGCCUCCUUCAUGGGGCCGCCUGGGGGAGGCACACAGGCUGUGAGCUCAGACAGCAUUCUUACUAUUAUUAUCUCCAACCCUUAAAUGGCACUCCCUGUGUGGCAGAUACUUCCUAGCAAGAGCCACUCCACGAGCAGGUCCUGUCACCACCCCCGUUUCACAGAGGAACCUGCCCAAGUGGGCUCGAUCCCCAGCCCCGCCGAAAACUCCUAUUUAUUUUUCAAAACCCUGGUAGGGCAUCCCUACGCUGAUCUCCUGGUGGGGGCCAUCCUUCCCCCCAACCCCCCUUGGAGCCCCAUUUCCCACACCUGCCGGUCUGUGCCCAUCCACUGGGCUCCUUGCUCAGAAGCCUGCUUUCCGGAGUCUGAAUCCCCAUCCGGCACAGACAGGGGGUCAAGACGUGUUUGCCGAACGGGACAGCAGAGGCUGUGGCCCCUUUUCUCGUUACUCCCACAGGACCUCCUGGAGGAAAAUGUUGCUUGUCUCCCCCGCAGGUGGUCAGGAAACCUGUCCUUUAAAGGUGACUCUGGGCAGGUCUGCUGGCCCAGCCCACCCCCCAGUUCAUCUUUCCUGGAAACUGGGGGUGGGCGAUGCCUACAGAGGGGACCCCCCCCCCCAAGCUUCCAGGGACGGCGGCAGGAGGCACGAGCAGAAGCCAUGGGACCAGAGGGAGGGGUGUCCCCGGGGAGGCACAGGCAUAUCCAAGAUGCUUAUCUUUCCCCCUCUCUCGUCAACGGCUAUUACGCCGCCUUGGGCCUGUGUGGGCUUUGCAACUUUUCGAGGCGUUGCCUCGAACCCAGUUCUCCUUGACCCUUUGCAACACCGUGAGCUGGGCUGGAGUGGUUCUUCCCACUUCGCAGAAGAGGAAAUGGAGACCCCCCAAAGGUGAUGCCCAGCCUCACAGGAUCAGCGCCUGGUAUUCUGAAGUCCCCCGGCCUGUAGAUCUCUGUCGGCUUCACCCUGCAGCGGGCCAGCCUGGAAACUUCCUAAAUUCCGCCACCGUGUCCGGUUCGCGGCCACCAGGCCCGGCUCCUCCCAGCGUGGCCCUCAGAGGCGGCUCCUUCCAGGGAGAGCCAGACUCCAGCCUGCUAGCAGAGGAUGUUUUCCUGCACAGUGGACAAAACAUUUCUGGCACUUUCAGGAGGGGACUGAACAGUCUGUCCACUUUGGCUGCGUUCGGGGUUCCUGGACGGGCGCAAGUGUGCUUUCACAGGCAACAAGAUUAAUCACACAGCAACCUCCCUCCCUCCCGGCUCCUCACCUGCCCCGCCCCGUCCCCUGUCACCCGCGCUGUGCUCCGGAGCAAACUUCUGAGAAGUCAUUCCAAGUGGCCUCAGGAAGUGAACACUCGAGUCACGCGCCUCCCGCCACAGGCCUCCUCGGUGAGGGGGAGGGGCUGGGAAACACCCCCGACCCCGAGUCCCGUGAACCCCAGCCGUCUCACGUGGGGCACGUCCCAUCCCAACUGACUGCUUUGGCCUCUGACCUGACGCAGUGGCCUGGAUCCGACGGCCGUUCCUCCUGGUGCCUCUCUGGUGGAAGUUCAUCAGAAUUUCCCGAGGUUUGGGAAGCUUCCAGAACCCCCGGAUGAGAUGUGGUCCCAGCCCUGGUUCCCUGUGUCCUUCCACGCUCCAUUUAGAAAGGUCUCUGAGGCACCUGGGUGGCUCGGUUGGUUAAGCGAUCACCUUCGGCUUAGGUCAUGAUCAGGUUCAUGAGUUCGAGCCCCGUGUGAGGCUCGGAGCCUGGAGCCCGCUUCCGAUUCUGUGUCACUGUCUCUGCCCCUCCCCCGCUCACGUUUUUUUUCUCUCUCUCUC